RNAcentral lists this ribosomal RNA (863 nucleotides) under uncultured bacterium. RNAcentral describes it as "bacterial SSU rRNA". It matches the Rfam family "Bacterial small subunit ribosomal RNA", at positions 48 to 914 of the family's 1533-position model. The record is from RNAcentral.
GUAACACAUGCAAGUCGAACGAUUCUUAGGUGGCUUGCUAUCUAAGAAGAGUGGCGAAUGGGUGAGUAACACGUGAGUAAUCUGCCCUCGAGUGAGGAAUAACUUCGCGAAAGCGAAGCUAAUACCGCAUAAUAUUCUGGAGAAUAAUCUUUCAGAAUUAAAGCCUUCGGGCGCUUGAGGAUGAGCUUGCGUCCUAUUAGCUUGUUGGUAGGGUAAUGGCCUACCAAGGCAAUGAUGGGUAGCCGGCCUGAGAGGGUGUACGGCCACACUGGGACUGCGACACGGCCCAGACUCCUACGGGAGGCAGCAGUGGAGAAUUUUGCGCAAUGGGCGAAAGCCUGACGCAGCGACGCCGCGUGGAGGAUGAAGGCCUUCGGGUUGUAAACUCCUGUCAGAGGAGAAGAAAGCCCUUCGGGGUUUGACGGUAUCCUCAGAGGAAGCCCCGGCUAACUACGUGCCAGCAGCCGCGGUAAAACGCAGGGGGCGAACGUUGCUCGGAAUUACUGGGCGUAAAGGGUGCGUAGGUGGCUGAGAAAGUCGAAAAUGAAAUCCCGAGGCUUAACCUCGGAACUGUUUUCGAAACUACUUAGCUUGAGGAUAGUUGAGGAAAACGGAAUUCCCGGUGGAGCGGUGAAAUGCGUAGAUAUCGGGAGGAACACCUGAGGCGAAGGCGGUUUUCUGGACUAUUCCUGACACUGAGGUACGAAAGCUAGGGUAGCAAACGGGAUUAGAUACCCCGGUAGUCCUAGCUGUAAACGAUGGGCACUAGACGUUUCUGUUUUAUUAUGGGAGUGUCGUAGUUAACGCGAUAAGUGCCCCGCCUGGGGACUACAGUCACAAGGCUGAAACUCAAAUGAAUUGAC